RNAcentral lists this ribosomal RNA (2932 nucleotides) under Enterobacter cloacae. RNAcentral describes it as "bacterial LSU rRNA". It matches the Rfam family "Bacterial large subunit ribosomal RNA". RNAcentral also lists the same sequence under 1 other name. Lineage: Bacteria; Pseudomonadati; Pseudomonadota; Gammaproteobacteria; Enterobacterales; Enterobacteriaceae. The record is from RNAcentral.
GGGUUGUGAGGUUAAGCGACUAAGCGUACACGGUGGAUGCCCUGGCAGUCAGAGGCGAUGAAGGACGUGCUAAUCUGCGAAAAGCGCCGGCGAGGUGAUAUGAACCUUUGACCCGGCGAUGUCCGAAUGGGGAAACCCAGUGCAAUCCGUUGCACUAUCGUUAACUGAAUACAUAGGUUAACGAGGCGAACCGGGGGAACUGAAACAUCUAAGUACCCCGAGGAAAAGAAAUCAACCGAGAUUCCCCCAGUAGCGGCGAGCGAACGGGGAGCAGCCCGGAGUCUGAAUCAGCUUGUGUGUUAGUGGAACGGUCUGGAAAGUCCGACGGUACAGGGUGAUAGUCCCGUACACGAAAGCACACAUGCUGUGAACUCGAAGAGUAGGGCGGGACACGUGGUAUCCUGUCUGAAUAUGGGGGGACCAUCCUCCAAGGCUAAAUACUCCUGACUGACCGAUAGUGAACCAGUACCGUGAGGGAAAGGCGAAAAGAACCCCGGCGAGGGGAGUGAAAAAGAACCUGAAACCGUGUACGUACAAGCAGUGGGAGCCUCUUUAUGGGGUGACUGCGUACCUUUUGUAUAAUGGGUCAGCGACUUAUAUUCUGUAGCAAGGUUAACCGUAUAGGGGAGCCGAAGGGAAACCGAGUCUUAACUGGGCGUUAAGUUGCAGGGUAUAGACCCGAAACCCGGUGAUCUAGCCAUGGGCAGGUUGAAGGUUGGGUAACACUAACUGGAGGACCGAACCGACUAAUGUUGAAAAAUUAGCGGAUGACCUGUGGCUGGGGGUGAAAGGCCAAUCAAACCGGGAGAUAGCUGGUUCUCCCCGAAAGCUAUUUAGGUAGCGCCUCGUGAACUCAUCUUCGGGGGUAGAGCACUGUUUCGGCUAGGGGGCCAUCCCGGCUUACCAACCCGAUGCAAACUACGAAUACCGAAGAAUGUUAUCACGGGAGACACACGGCGGGUGCUAACGUCCGUCGUGAAGAGGGAAACAACCCAGACCGCCAGCUAAGGUCCCAAAGUCAUGGUUAAGUGGGAAACGAUGUGGGAAGGCACAGACAGCCAGGAUGUUGGCUUAGAAGCAGCCAUCAUUUAAAGAAAGCGUAAUAGCUCACUGGUCGAGUCGGCCUGCGCGGAAGAUGUAACGGGGCUAAACCAUGCACCGAAGCUGCGGCAGCGACGCUUAGGCGUUGUUGGGUAGGGGAGCGUUCUGUAAGCCGUUGAAGGUGUGCUGUGAGGCAUGCUGGAGGUAUCAGAAGUGCGAAUGCUGACAUAAGUAACGAUAAAGCGGGUGAAAAGCCCGCUCGCCGGAAGACCAAGGGUUCCUGUCCAACGUUAAUCGGGGCAGGGUGAGUCGACCCCUAAGGCGAGGCCGAAAGGCGUAGUCGAUGGGAAACAGGUUAAUAUUCCUGUACUUGGUGUUACUGCGAAGGGGGGACGGAGAAGGCUAUGUCAGCCGGGCGACGGUUGUCCCGGUUUAAGCAUGUAGGCGGAGGUUCCAGGUAAAUCCGGUACCUUAUUAACGCUGAGGUGUGAUGACGAGGCACUACGGUGCUGAAGUGAUAAAUGCCCUGCUUCCAGGAAAAGCCUCUAAGCAUCAGGUAACACGAAAUCGUACCCCAAACCGACACAGGUGGUCAGGUAGAGAAUACCAAGGCGCUUGAGAGAACUCGGGUGAAGGAACUAGGCAAAAUGGUGCCGUAACUUCGGGAGAAGGCACGCUGAUAUGUAGGUGAAGUCCCUGCGGACGGAGCUGAAAUCAGUCGAAGAUACCAGCUGGCUGCAACUGUUUAUUAAAAACACAGCACUGUGCAAACACGAAAGUGGACGUAUACGGUGUGACGCCUGCCCGGUGCCGGAAGGUUAAUUGAUGGGGUUAGCGGCAACGCGAAGCUCUUGAUCGAAGCCCCGGUAAACGGCGGCCGUAACUAUAACGGUCCUAAGGUAGCGAAAUUCCUUGUCGGGUAAGUUCCGACCUGCACGAAUGGCGUAAUGAUGGCCAGGCUGUCUCCACCCGAGACUCAGUGAAAUUGAACUCGCUGUGAAGAUGCAGUGUACCCGCGGCAAGACGGAAAGACCCCGUGAACCUUUACUAUAGCUUGACACUGAACACUGGUCCUUGAUGUGUAGGAUAGGUGGGAGGCUUUGAAGCGUGGACGCCAGUCUGCGUGGAGCCAACCUUGAAAUACCACCCUUUAAUGGCUGGUGUUCUAACGUAGACCCGUAAUCCGGGUUGCGGACAGUGUCUGGUGGGUAGUUUGACUGGGGCGGUCUCCUCCCAAAGAGUAACGGAGGAGCACGAAGGUUGGCUAAUCCUGGUCGGACAUCAGGAGGUUAGUGCAAUGGCAUAAGCCAGCUUGACUGCGAGCGUGACGGCGCGAGCAGGUGCGAAAGCAGGUCAUAGUGAUCCGGUGGUUCUGAAUGGAAGGGCCAUCGCUCAACGGAUAAAAGGUACUCCGGGGAUAACAGGCUGAUACCGCCCAAGAGUUCAUAUCGACGGCGGUGUUUGGCACCUCGAUGUCGGCUCAUCACAUCCUGGGGCUGAAGUAGGUCCCAAGGGUAUGGCUGUUCGCCAUUUAAAGUGGUACGCGAGCUGGGUUUAGAACGUCGUGAGACAGUUCGGUCCCUAUCUGCCGUGGGCGCUGGAGAAUUGAGGGGGGCUGCUCCUAGUACGAGAGGACCGGAGUGGACGCAUCACUGGUGUUCGGGUUGUCAUGCCAAUGGCACUGCCCGGUAGCUAAAUGCGGAAGAGAUAAGUGCUGAAAGCAUCUAAGCACGAAACUUGCCCCGAGAUGAGUUCUCCCUGAGACCUUGAGUCUCCUGAAGGAACGUUGAAGACGACGACGUUGAUAGGUCGGGUGUGUAAGCGCAGCGAUGCGUUGAGCUAACCGAUACUAAUGAACCGUGAGGCUUAACCUUACAACGCCGAAGCUGUU